RNAcentral lists this ribosomal RNA (548 nucleotides) under uncultured eukaryote. RNAcentral's name for it is "bacterial SSU rRNA". It matches the Rfam family "Eukaryotic small subunit ribosomal RNA", at positions 335 to 893 of the family's 1831-position model. The record is from RNAcentral.
AUUGGACUACCAUGGCAGGUCACGGGUAACGGGGAAUUAGGGUUCGAUUCCGGAGAGGGAGCCUGAGAAACGGCUACCACAUCUAAGGAAGGCAGCAGGCGCGUAAAUUACCCAAUCCUGAUUCAGGGAGGUAGUGACAAGAAAUAACAACCUGGAGUCUCACGACUUGCGGGGAUUGCAAUGAGAACAAUUUAAAACCUCUUAACAAGGAACAAUUGGAGGGCAAGUCUGGUGCCAGCAGCCGCGGUAAUUCCAGCUCCAAUAGCGUAUAUUAAAGUUGUUGCAGUUAAAAAGCUCGUAGUUGAACUUCUGGGCGUUCGGAGCGGGGUCAAACCAGCUCAUGGGCGUUCAUCCGUCUGAGAACCAUAUUCGAUCUUCACUGGUCGGUAUGGGAAUCAGGCACUUUUACUUUUGAAAAAAUUAGAGUGUUCCAGGCAGACAUUUGUCUUGAAUACACAAGCAUGGAAUAAUGGAAUAGGACUAACUAUCCAUUUUAUUUGGUAUAUUGGAGUUAGUAAUAGAGUUAACUAGGGACGAGGUUGGGGGUC